GUUGUUGUGGCCGAGAGGUUAAGGCGAUGGACUUGAAAUCCAUUGGGGUCUCCCCGCGCAGGUUCGAGUCCUGCCAGCAACA
This is a transfer RNA of Gasterosteus aculeatus (three-spined stickleback), 82 nucleotides long. It matches the Rfam family "tRNA". Rfam says of the family: Transfer RNA (tRNA) molecules are approximately 80 nucleotides in length. Their secondary structure includes four short double-helical elements and three loops (D, anti-codon, and T loops). The record is from Rfam. NCBI's taxonomy places the organism in Eukaryota, Metazoa, Chordata, Actinopteri, Perciformes, Gasterosteidae.